GAUGUGCCCAGAUGGGAUUAGCUUGUUGGUGGGGUAACGGCUCACCAAGGCGACGAUCCCUAGCUGGUCUGAGAGGAUGACCAGCCACACUGGAACUGAGACACGGUCCAGACUCCUACGGGAGGCAGCAGUGGGGAAUAUUGCACAAUGGGCGCAAGCCUGAUGCAGCCAUGCCGCGUGUAUGAAGAAGGCCUUCGGGUUGUAAAGUACUUUCAGCGGGGAGGAAGGGAGUAAAGUUAAUACCUUUGCUCAUUGACGUUAUCCGCAGAAGAAGCACCGGCUAACUCCGUGCCAGCAGCCGCGGUAAUACGGAGGGUGCAAGCGUUAAUCGGAAUUACUGGGCGUAAAGCGCACGCAGGCGGUUUGUUAAGUCAGAUGUGAAAUCCCCGGGCUCAACCUGGGAACUGCAUCUGAUACUGGCAAGCUUGAGUCUCGUAGAGGGGGGUAGAAUUCCAGGUGUAGCGGUGAAAUGCGUAGAGAUCUGGAGGAAUACCGGUGGCGAAGGCGGCCCCCUGGACGAAGACUGACGCUCAGGUGCGAAAGCGUGGGGAGCAAACAGGAUUAGAUACCCUGGUAGUCCACGCCGUAAACGAUGUCGACUUGGAGGUUGUGCCCUUGAGGCGUGGCUUCCGGAGCUAACGCGUUAAGUCGACCGCCUGGGGAGUACGGCCGCAAGGUUAAAACUCAAAUGAAUUGACGGGGGCCCGCACAAGCGGUGGAGCAUGUGGUUUAAUUCGAUGCAACGCGAAGAACCUUACCUGGUCUUGACAUCCACGGAAGUUUUCAGAGAUGAGAAUGUGCCUUCGGGAACCGUGAGACAGGUGCUGCAUGGCUGUCGUCAGCUCGUGUUGUGAAAUGUUGGGUUAAGUCCCGCAACGAGCGCAACCCUUAUCCUUUGUUGCCAGCGGUCCGGCCGGGAACUCAAAGGAGACUGCCAGUGAUAAACUGGAGGAAGGUGGGGACGACGUCAAGUCAUCAUGGCCCUUACGACCAGGGCUACACACGUGCUACAAUGGCGCAUACAAAGAGAAGCGACCUCGCGAGAGCAAGCGGACCUCAUAAAGUGCGUCGUAGUCCGGAUUGGAGUCUGCAACUCGACUCCAUGAAGUCGGAAUCGCUAGUAAUCGUGGAUCAGAAUGCCACGGUGAAUACGUUCCCGGGCCUUGUACACACCGCCCGUCACACCAUGGGAGUGGGUUGCAAAAGAAGUAGGUAGCUUAACCUUCGGGAGGGCGCUUACCACUUUGUGAUUCAUGACUGGGGUGAAGUCGUAACAAGGUAACCGUAGGGGAACCUGCGGUUGGAUCACCUCCUUA
This 1316-nucleotide ribosomal RNA is filed under the name Shigella boydii. RNAcentral's name for it is "bacterial SSU rRNA". It matches the Rfam family "Bacterial small subunit ribosomal RNA", at positions 224 to 1533 of the family's 1533-position model. Lineage: Bacteria; Pseudomonadati; Pseudomonadota; Gammaproteobacteria; Enterobacterales; Enterobacteriaceae. The record is from RNAcentral.